This 711-nucleotide ribosomal RNA is filed under the name uncultured fungus. Its description in RNAcentral is "eukaryotic LSU rRNA". The stretch from base 288 to 441 matches the Rfam family "5.8S ribosomal RNA". Lineage: Eukaryota; Fungi. The record is from RNAcentral.
CUUGGUCAUUUAGAGGAAGUAAAAGUCGUAACAAGGUUUCCGUAGGUGAACCUGCGGAAGGAUCAUUAUCGAGUUUUGAACGGGUUGUAGCUGGCCUCUCACGAGGCAUGUGCACGCCUGGCUCAUCCACUCUUAACCUCUGUGCACUUUAUGUAAGAGAAAAAAAUGGUGGAAGCUUCCAGGAUCUCGCGAGAGGUCUUCGGUUGAACAAGCCGUUUUUCUUUCUUAUGUUUUACUACAAACGCUUCAGUUAUAGAAUGUCAACUGUGUAUAACACAUUUAUAUACAACUUUCAGCAACGGAUCUCUUGGCUCUCGCAUCGAUGAAGAACGCAGCGAAAUGCGAUAAGUAAUGUGAAUUGCAGAAUUCAGUGAAUCAUCGAAUCUUUGAACGCACCUUGCACUCCUUGGUAUUCCGAGGAGUAUGCCUGUUUGAGUCUCAUGGUAUUCUCAACCCCUAAAUUUUUGUAAUGAAGGUUUAGCGGGCUUGGACUUGGAGGUUGUGUCGGCCCUUGCUGGUCGACUCCUCUGAAAUGCAUUAGCGUGAAUCUUACGGAUCGCCUUCAGUGUGAUAAUUAUCUGCGCUGUGGUGUUGAAGUAUUUAUGGUGUUCAUGCUUCGAACCGUCUCCUUGCCGAGACAAUCAUUUGACAAUCUGAGCUCAAAUCAGGUAGGACUACCCGCUGAACUUAAGCAUAUCAAUAAGCGGAGGA